Molecule: unclassified non-coding RNA, 89 nt
Filed under: Podospora anserina S mat+
Lineage: Eukaryota; Fungi; Ascomycota; Sordariomycetes; Sordariales; Podosporaceae
Source: RNAcentral
UUAGUGGUUAAAGAUAACGAAAAUAUUUAAAAGGAAUUAAUGUAUCAAUAUUUUAUAAUUCUUGACUUUAACUCCUAUCAAAAGAUCUA